RNAcentral lists this ribosomal RNA (457 nucleotides) under uncultured bacterium. Its description in RNAcentral is "bacterial SSU rRNA". It matches the Rfam family "Bacterial small subunit ribosomal RNA", at positions 340 to 786 of the family's 1533-position model. The record is from RNAcentral.
UACGGGAGGCAGCAGUGGGGAAUAUUGCACAAUGGGCGAAAGCCUGAUGCAGCUAUGCCGCGUGUAUGAAGAAGGCCUUAGGGUUGUAAAGUACUUUCAUCGGGGAGGAAAAAACAAAACUAAUAAUUUUAUUUCUUGACGUUACCCGAAAAAGAAGCACCGGCUAACUCCGUGCCAGCAGCCGCGGUAAUACGGAGGGUGCUAGCGUUAAUCAGAAUUACUGGGCGUAAAGAGCACGUAGGUGGUUUUUUUAAGUCAGAUGUGAAAUCCCUGGGCUUAACCUGGAACUGCAUUUUGAAACUGAAAUACUAGAGUAUCGUAGAGGGAGGUAGAAUUCUAGGUGUAGCGGUGAAAUGCGUAGAUAUCUGGAGGAAUACCUGUGGCGAAAGCGGCCUCCUAAACGAAUACUGACACUGAGGUGCGAAAGCGUUGGGGAGCAAACAGGGAUUUAGAUACC